RNAcentral lists this ribosomal RNA (492 nucleotides) under uncultured bacterium. RNAcentral's name for it is "partial 16S ribosomal RNA". It matches the Rfam family "Bacterial small subunit ribosomal RNA", at positions 29 to 507 of the family's 1533-position model. The record is from RNAcentral.
AGUGAACGCUGGCGGUAGGCCUAACACAUGCAAGUCGAACGGCAGCACAGUAAGAGCUUGCUCUUACGGGUGGCGAGUGGCAGACGGGUGAGGAAUACAUCGGAAUCUACUUUUUCGUGGGGGAUAACGUCGGGAAACUUACGCUAAUACCGCAUACGACCUACGGGUGAAAGCAGGGGAUCUUCGGACCUUGCGCGACUGAAUGAGCCGAUGUCGGAUUAGCUAGUUGUCGGGGUAAAGGCCUACCAAGGCGACGAUCCGUAGCUGGUCUGAGAGGAUGAUCAGCCACACUGGAGCUGAGACACGGUCCAGACUCCUACGGGAGGCAGCAGUGGGGAAUAUUGGACAAUGGGCGCAAGCCUGAUCCAGCCAUACCGCGUGGGUGAAGAAGGCCUUCGGGUUGUAGAGCCCUUUUGUUGGGAAAGAAAAGCAGCAGGUUAAUACCCCGCUGUUCUGACGGUACCCAAAGAAUAAGCACCGGCUAACUUCGUG